This 903-nucleotide ribosomal RNA is filed under the name uncultured bacterium. RNAcentral's name for it is "bacterial SSU rRNA". It matches the Rfam family "Bacterial small subunit ribosomal RNA", at positions 56 to 935 of the family's 1533-position model. The record is from RNAcentral.
UGCAGUCGAACGAGAAAGCGUUCUUCGGAACGUGAGUACAGUGGCGGACGGGUGAGUAACACGUGGGGAACCUGCCCUCAAGCUGGGAACAACCCGCCUAACGGCGGGCUAAUACCGAAUGUGGUUGUCAGUCCGCAUGGAAUGACAAUUAAAGGUGGCCUCUCCUUGGAAGCUACCGCUUGUGGAUGGCCCCGCGCUCAAUUAGCUAGUUGGUAGGGUAACGGCCUACCAAGGCGACGAUUGAUAGCCGACCUGAGAGGGUGACCGGCCACACUGGGAUUGAGAUAAGGCCCAGUCUCCUACGGGAGCCAGCAGUCUAGAAAUUUGGGCAAUGGGCGAAAGCCUGACCCAGCGACGCCGCGUGGGGGAUGAAGCUUCUCGGAGUGUAAACCCCUGUUAGGUGGGACGAAAGCCCGUAUACGAACAGUAGGCGGGUUUGACGGUACCACCAGAGGAAGCUCCGGCUAACUCCGUGCCAGCAGCCGCGGUAAUACGGGGGGAGCAAGCGUUGUUCGGAGUUAUUGGGCGUAAAGGGCGUACAGGCGGUGGUGUCAGUCAGAUGUGAAAUCCCCCGGCUCAACCGGGGACCUGCAUUUGAUACUGCAUCACUUGAGUACAGGAGAGGAGAGCGGAAUUUUCGGUGUAGCGGUGGAAUGUGUAGAUAUCGAAAAGAACACCAGUGGCGAAGGCGGCUCUCUGGCCUGAUACUGACGCUGACGCGCGAAAGCCAGGGGAGCAAACAGGAUUAGAUACCCUGGUAGUCCUGGCUGUAAACGUUGGGCACUAGGUGUUGGAGGUAUCGACCCCUUCAGUGCCGAAGCUAACGCAUUAAGUGCCCCGCCUGGGGAGUACGGCCGCAAGGCUGAACUCAAAGGAAUUGACGGGGGCCUGCACAAGCGGUGG